RNAcentral lists this ribosomal RNA (494 nucleotides) under uncultured bacterium. RNAcentral's name for it is "partial 16S ribosomal RNA". It matches the Rfam family "Bacterial small subunit ribosomal RNA", at positions 28 to 507 of the family's 1533-position model. The record is from RNAcentral.
GACGAACGCUGGCGGCGUGCUUAACACAUGCAAGUCGAACGGUGAAGCGCCUUCCUUUUUGGUGGGUGUGGAUGAGUGGCGAACGGGUGAGUAACACGUGAGUAACCUGCCCCCUUCUUCUGGAUAACCGCAUGAAAGUGUGGCUAAUACGGGAUAUUCUGGGUCUGUCGCAUGAUGGGUCUGGGAAAGAUAUUGUUUCGGUGGGGGAUGGGCUCGCGGCCUAUCAGCUUGUUGGUGGGGUGAUGGCCUACCAAGGCGGUGACGGGUAGCCGGCCUGAGAGGGUGGACGGUCACACUGGGACUGAGACACGGCCCAGACUCCUACGGGAGGCAGCAGUGGGGAAUAUUGCACAAUGGGCGCAAGCCUGAUGCAGCGACGCCGCGUGAGGGAAGGAGGCCUUCGGGUUGUGAACCUCUUUCGCCAGUGAAGCAGGCCUGCCUCGUUUGUGGGUGGGUUGACGGUAGCUGGAGAAGAAGCGCCGGCUAACUACGUG